GUGGAAUUCUUGUUGGGUUUGGAGUGGAAGUUAGACCUGAUCUGAGAAGGCAGCUGGGCGUGGUGUUCAGGUCGGCGCGAGGGUGAUCUGGUCUCCGUAGAUCUGACACGCGUGUUGUGUGUCCCAGCGGCGUGUGCUGGACCACAGUGCGUACUGGAAUGAAUGCAAGACCUCACUCACUAUUAAAUACGUGGUCUCGGUGGCAAACUCAAGAAUCCAUACACUGUCCAGGCAACUGAAGUAUUUCUUGCUUGACUUUUCUAGAAGCAGGCACUGCUUAGGGUGAAGCCCUUCUACAAAUGAAGAACCAGGAAGAAGUGAAAGGUUCAGGAAGGAACCAAGUUGGUGAAAGCCAUGUCCGUGGGCUAGUGACUCACAGAUGUGGCCAUAAACUUCUGCCAAGGUGAGUGGGAAUGAUUGAGUCUUGCCCAGAGGCGUUUGCACAGGAAGGCGAUGUGGGACACCUACAGGAACCUGGAUGGUAACACCAAUGUUCACUGUGACUCAGUGUCUUCUCUUGCUUUAUUGUUUUCCAACACCAUCCCUCUUCAAGACCAUUUAGAUGGGUGGUUCUCAACCUGUGGGUCAUGUAACCUCUUUGGGGCGUGUCCAAUGAGCCUUCACAGGCAAGGGUUGCCUAAGAUCAUCGGAAAACACAGAUAUUUACAUUAAGAUUCUUAACAGUAACAAAAUUGCAGUUAUAAAGUAGCAAUGAAGAUAAUUUUGUGGUUGGGGGACACCAAGCCACAAGGAACUGCAUUAAAGUGUUACAGCAUUAGGAGGGUUGAGAACUGCCAAUUUAGACAACUGUAGCUCUUGCUUACAAACUUCACUGUCAGCUUUCAUGUUUUAUGUACAGAUCUUUGCAUUUUAAAACCAGAUGAGAUCCCAUUACUGUAGCACGAGAAGGAGCCAUGAUGACAGACGGAGAGGUGUCCUGGUGAGUGCAGGAUGACUGGAGCUGGAGAAGGAGCCAUGAUGACAGACGGAGAGGUGUCCAGGUGAGUGCAGGAUGACUGGAGCUGGAGAGGUUGGCUCAGCAGUCUCUUCCUUUGGCAUCUGAGGGAUAAUUCAGAUGCUCUCCCGGAUUGGUGCAGGCUGUCAUAGCAGUUUCUU
Molecule: long non-coding RNA, 1116 nt
Organism: Microtus oregoni (creeping vole)
Lineage: Eukaryota; Metazoa; Chordata; Mammalia; Rodentia; Cricetidae
Exons: 4
Source: RefSeq, a predicted model, not a curated record